Molecule: ribosomal RNA, 1473 nt
Filed under: Vibrio cholerae
Lineage: Bacteria; Pseudomonadati; Pseudomonadota; Gammaproteobacteria; Vibrionales; Vibrionaceae
Description: partial 23S ribosomal RNA
Rfam family: Bacterial large subunit ribosomal RNA
Source: RNAcentral
CCCCUAAGGUGAGGCCGAAAGGCGUAAUCGAUGGGAAACGGGUUAAUAUUCCCGUACUUCUGACUAUUGCGAUGGGGGGACGGAGAAGGCUAGGUGGGCCAGGCGACGGUUGUCCUGGUUCAAGUGCGUAGGCUUGAGAGUUAGGUAAAUCCGGCUCUCUCUAAGGCUGAGACACGACGUCGAGCUACUACGGUAGUGAAGUCAUUGAUGCCAUGCUUCCAGGAAAAGCCUCUAAGCUUCAGAUAGUCAGGAAUCGUACCCCAAACCGACACAGGUGGUCGGGUAGAGAAUACCAAGGCGCUUGAGAGAACUCGGGUGAAGGAACUAGGCAAAAUGGUACCGUAACUUCGGGAGAAGGUACGCUCUUGAUGGUGAAGUCCCUCGCGGAUGGAGCUGACGAGAGUCGCAGAUACCAGGUGGCUGCAACUGUUUAUUAAAAACACAGCACUGUGCAAAAUCGCAAGAUGACGUAUACGGUGUGACGCCUGCCCGGUGCCGGAAGGUUAAUUGAUGGGGUUAGCGCAAGCGAAGCUCUUGAUCGAAGCCCCGGUAAACGGCGGCCGUAACUAUAACGGUCCUAAGGUAGCGAAAUUCCUUGUCGGGUAAGUUCCGACCUGCACGAAUGGCGUAAUGAUGGCCACGCUGUCUCCACCCGAGACUCAGUGAAAUUGAAAUCGCUGUGAAGAUGCAGUGUACCCGCGGCUAGACGGAAAGACCCCGUGAACCUUUACUACAGCUUGGCACUGAACAUUGAACCUACAUGUGUAGGAUAGGUGGGAGGCUAUGAAGACGUGACGCCAGUUGCGUUGGAGCCGUCCUUGAAAUACCACCCUUGUAUGUUUGAUGUUCUAACUUAGACCCAUUAUCUGGGUUGAGGACAGUGCCUGGUGGGUAGUUUGACUGGGGCGGUCUCCUCCCAAAGAGUAACGGAGGAGCACGAAGGUGGGCUAAUCACGGUUGGACAUCGUGAGGUUAGUGCAAUGGCAUAAGCCCGCUUAACUGCGAGAAUGACGGUUCGAGCAGGUGCGAAAGCAGGUCAUAGUGAUCCGGUGGUUCUGUAUGGAAGGGCCAUCGCUCAACGGAUAAAAGGUACUCCGGGGAUAACAGGCUGAUACCGCCCAAGAGUUCAUAUCGACGGCGGUGUUUGGCACCUCGAUGUCGGCUCAUCACAUCCUGGGGCUGAAGUCGGUCCCAAGGGUAUGGCUGUUCGCCAUUUAAAGUGGUACGCGAGCUGGGUUUAGAACGUCGUGAGACAGUUCGGUCCCUAUCUGCCGUGGGCGUUGGAAGAUUGAAGGGGGCUGCUCCUAGUACGAGAGGACCGGAGUGGACGAACCUCUGGUGUUCGGGUUGUGUCGCCAGACGCAUUGCCCGGUAGCUAAGUUCGGAAUUGAUAAGCGCUGAAAGCAUCUAAGCGCGAAGCGAGCCCUGAGAUGAGUCUUCCCUGACAGUUUAACUGUCCUAAAGGGUUGUUCG